ACGAACUCUUGCAGAAUAUUUUACAGUAUCAGGGAGGAGAUAAAUGAAGCAGUAGACAGUAGGAAUGUGGGAUCAAAAACAUUUUUUAAACAUGAAAUCUUACUGUAGGUAUUCUAAAAGGGAAUGAUCCAGAAGAAAGUAGAAAACUGAUGAUGUCAGAGAAACAACAAUUUACGAAGACAAAGUCUUUGAGACUGUGAAAGGAGAUGGAAUCCACACACAAGGAAGGGGUGACUGGCCAUAAGGGCAAAGACAGUGCAUCCACUGUAUAAGAAAAAGGUGAGCACAUGGACAAAAAUGAAGAAUAGAAAAGAACAGAAAAAUAAAAUGCACUGCAUACAAUAAGAAGAGAAUCACCCCCACCCCAACAAUGAAAGGAGAUGAAAUAAACCAGGAGUUGCAAAGACCAGCGGAGAUAGUUACAUAGCAGCCUGGAAAAGAGAAAAAAAAAAUAAAGAACAAAAAGAGGCGUCUACGGCACCAGACGGUGUGCUCCUUUGUGCACCUAUGUUCAGGUAUCCCUUGCGCACCAGUCCCACACUUCGCUGGUACACAUACCUACUGAUAAAAAUUAACUGUAAAAGUCAGAAACUCCCACGGUACCUUUCCUUUGGGCUUCUCAAAAAUUUUAAGUGAUGAACUGCUCUAGAGCUCCGCCCCUUCUUUCCUUACCCUAAAAGUGCAACUUCUGCUCUAGAGAGAAACUUUCUUUUCCCCGAACACCCGUUUUAUCCCAUCCCCAGGGGAAACGGGGGGAGGGGUUAAGAAAGAGGUCGCCUGGGGGCGCCCAACUCUGCCCUGCCACCCCUGGGCCACAGCCAUGCCGG
RNAcentral lists this long non-coding RNA (827 nucleotides) under Homo sapiens (human). RNAcentral describes it as "HSALNT0297231". Lineage: Eukaryota; Metazoa; Chordata; Mammalia; Primates; Hominidae. The record is from RNAcentral.